UAGGCUGUUGUUAGGUUGCUUUUAGGAUGCUGUUAAAAUGCAAUUAGGCUGUGGUUAGGUUGCUGUUAGGCUGCUGUUAGGCUGUUAGGAUGUGGUUAGGUUGCUGUUAGGCUGUUAGGAUGUGAUUAGGUUGCUGUUAGGAUGCUGUUCAGAUGCUGUUAGCCUGCUGUUAGGAUGCUGUUAGGCACAUUUUAGGAUGCUGUUAGGCUGCUGUUAGGAUGCUGUUAGGAUGCUGUUAGGUUGCUGUUAGGAUGCUGUUAGGUUGCUGUUAGGUUGCUGUUAGGCUGCUGUUAGGAUGCUGUUAGGUUGCUUUCCAG
This 317-nucleotide long non-coding RNA is filed under the name Salmo salar (Atlantic salmon). Its description in RNAcentral is "lncRNA (ENSSSAG00000082105.1)". Lineage: Eukaryota; Metazoa; Chordata; Actinopteri; Salmoniformes; Salmonidae. The record is from RNAcentral.